RNAcentral lists this ribosomal RNA (118 nucleotides) under Pogona vitticeps (central bearded dragon). The record is from RNAcentral. Lineage: Eukaryota; Metazoa; Chordata; Lepidosauria; Squamata; Agamidae.
CAUGGAUAUGUUACCACCCUGAACAACCCAAUCUUGUCUGAGCUUGAAAGCUCAGCAGGAAUGAACCAGACAUGUAUUCAAAUGGAAGGCCAUCAUGGAACACUAGGGACUUCUAGUA